RNAcentral lists this ribosomal RNA (390 nucleotides) under uncultured bacterium. RNAcentral describes it as "bacterial SSU rRNA". It matches the Rfam family "Bacterial small subunit ribosomal RNA", at positions 28 to 417 of the family's 1533-position model. The record is from RNAcentral.
GACGAACGCUGGCGGCGUGCUUAACACAUGCAAGUCGAGCGGUAAGGCCCUUUCGGGGGUACGACGAGCGGCGAACGGGUGAGUAACACGUGGGUGACCUGCCCUCAGCUCUGGGAUAAGCCUGGGAAACUAGGGUCUAAUACUGGAUAUGACUCCACGGUGCAUGUCGUGGGGUGGAAAGCCUUGUGCGGCUGAGGAUGGGCCCGCGGCCUAUCAGCUUGUUGGUGGGGUGAUGGCCUACCAAGGCGACGACGGGUAGCCGGCCUGAGAGGGCGACCGGCCACACUGGGACCGAGACACGGCCCAGACUCCUACGGGAGGCAGCAGUGGGGAAUCUUGCGCAAUGGGCGAAAGCCUGACGCAGCGACGCCGCGUGAGGGAUGACGGCCU